GCCGCGAACGCGCGUUUGUUUUGAUGUGCAGUGCGGUGGAGUGCCAGUGAGUGAGUGAGGCGAUGUCGCGGGUGCCGGCGACAUGCUGGCCGUUCGCCCUGCCAAGUACCUGGGCUCGUUCCCGGUGGGUGACGGCGAGCACGCGGCGCGAGUGGACGCCGUCUCUGCCCACCUGCACCUCAUGAAGGAGAGCGGGCGUGCGGUCCCCGUGUUGGUGGUGGUAGCGCUCUCUGGGGUCAAAGUAUGCGACCCCGACGACCAGAGCGUGCGCAUGUCCCACGCGCUGCGGCGCAUCUCGUACGCGACGUGUG
This is a long non-coding RNA of Ostrinia nubilalis (European corn borer), 311 nucleotides long. RefSeq lists it as uncharacterized. NCBI's taxonomy places the organism in Eukaryota, Metazoa, Arthropoda, Insecta, Lepidoptera, Crambidae. The transcript has 4 exons. The record is from RefSeq and is a predicted model, not a curated record.